GGGCUUAAUAAAGUGAAGUUUACUUCCUGAAACUGAGGCUGGGCAUGGUAGCUUCUUCUGCCUCUUACAGGAUAGAAUCAUUCAGAGAUAAUCCUGGGGAACGGAGCACUAAUCCACGCCUCCCCCAGCAGAGAUUGGGGUGGCUGGGAGAAAGGGAAGACAGAGGACAAAGUCAAGCUGUUUCCUCUGUGCUGUUCGGAAGAAGGACCCGGAGAGCUGGUCCCACUGAUAAGCGAACACAUUAGGACCAGAGCUGAGCAGAAGUGGAGAACUAAUUCCUUUUCUUUGCAAAAGUGACUGGGAAUUGGGUUGGACAGGGGAGGGUAGGAGAGGACAAGGUAGAAAGGGGAAUGAACCUGGAAAAACGAAGAGUGAGCAGUUUGGAGGAAGAGAGAGGGCUUAGCAACAUGGCCGGGAUUAGCAAGGGCAAAAGUGGGCGUCUUCUUAUUGGAAAUGGCCAAAUAAAUAAAUACAGAGGCGUAAUAUUUGCUUUCUUGUGUUACCUGCUGUUAUGAUGUGAUCCUUCUCCACUGCUCUAAACUUUCAGUAAGUCUUCUGUGUACAAGUGCCUUGUGUUAAUAAUGGGGUUUGGGGAGAGUCCACAUCUGGGCAAUGUGAUCAGUAAUUUAGAAGAGCCUGAAGCCAGAGGAGAAUAGGAAAAUGUAAACCAUCACCUCUACUCCCCACAAAACCCCAGAGAGAUUGGAGGAAGCCUGGCUGGCUGUGACCGCACUCGCAGAACAGCGUCUGGGAUUCAUGUAAUUUGAAUAUCUAAGGGCAGGGGGCCUCUGCUGACCGAGACAAUACUAUCCAGGAGUCAUACCUGAAGACUUCAGUGGCCCAUGUGGCUUAAGCACCAACCAUCGGAAUCAGAGGCUGGCCUGUACGCCAUCAUGGUCAUAUUGGAUGCGUAUCGAAGUGAGCUCCUAGAGGUGCAAAAAUAGCAAAAAUGCAAUUGCAUAUGUAAAAACGCAACAUAUGUAAAAUCUGGCAAAGAUUAGAUCCUUCAUUAGUGCUCAUACCCGCAACACGGUCAAACUGAGGGGGACGGAGGGAGAGAGAAAUGGAAUUUGGAGAGGUUCCCAGCUCUGCCAUUCCCCACCCCUAGUAGCCAGGGGCGUUCUAGCAGCAGAGAGAGUAAAAGGGAGGGAGCAGGGCAAGGCCUUGGGCGGGGGGUGGGGGGUGGGUGUCUCCUGGGUUCGGUCAGGUGACAACACGAAUCCAAGUGUCGCUCAGGCUCCACGGCUAACACGGCUUUUGGGGCAUCAGAUAUUUGGGGAGAUGGAGGGAAUAACACAUCCUCUCCCCCAUCUACACCCGGAACAAAUAUGCUGGAAGUAUUCCGGUUCAGGCACUGAACUCGACCUGUCACAGGGAUGUAGACUUUUCUUUCCCCAGGUUCUCUUUUCGGCAACCCAGAGGAAGCAAGUCGCGGGGUACGCGCCAGAUGCUUCCCUCUGUCCUGGCUGAUGGAGCUCCUGACUGCGCCUGCUGCUGGCCGAUGGGCUCUGCAGUGGCCCACGACGGUCCCAUUUUUAAAGAUCACCGUCUCCCCGGGCCCUCCCUCCCUCCCCCUGAGCCACGAUAGUGGGUGUUCCUGUUUAUGUUUUGAAAUUCCCCUCCACGUGGGUGGAAGAUUUCAGAGAUUUCUCGUUGCAUCUCCCAAGGUAAUUUCUUUUAGGCAAAGAUAACAGGAGUUUCUGGUCUGCGUGACAUCAUCCGGUUGUCUAAAUUCAGCCCUCACAAUCUAGGCGGGCUUCAUUCCAGGCUGGUUGGUGUGCACGGUACAGGUGGCCGGCCCCUCCUUCCCACUGUGAGAUGGCAUCACAGGAAAACCGUCUGGGGCUGGUCCUUCCAACACCCAUGUCACUUUCUCCUUCACGCGUACCCUAACUCACACCCUCAUCCAAUAAGGCCCAUUAGCGUGCUUCCCCUUCUGGCGAAUUUGCAUAAUUAUUCACUGCCUUCUUUCUAGAACCAAAUCCUGGUAAUGGUUUUCUCAAGUCAGCGUCCUAGAAAUUCUCGAUUCUAUCAUACACACUCACUACUAAGUUUGCCCUCAAAUUAUUGCGUCAUGGUAAACAUGUACAGACAAAGAGAAAGGACACACUUUUCAACAGAGAAUCAGGGGGUCGGGGGCUGAAGUGCAGACAAGGCAGUACAGAGCUCCACCAUCCAGGCCCUACCAGAACACGAAGAUAUUUUCUAUUGCAGAGUAAGAUUCCCCAACAGUCAGAAUUUGUCCCUGAAGAAGGUUAAACCUUAAACACCUGCUUCAAAAAACCAAAACAAAAUAAUUGGGGAGAAAAAAAACAAAACAAAAACAACAGAAAAAAAAUGAAAGAAAGAAAAAAAAAAAGAAAACCGAAAGAAACUCUAAGCCUAAGGGCUUAAAAAUUAGAGGCAUAGCCUUUUCUCUAUUUUCUAUAUUUAUAUGAAAAUAAUUCAUGCUUCAUGCUAAAUACAUUAUUUACCUUACAAGAACUUUGUUAUUUUUGAAUAAAAAAAAGUUUGUGUUUUGUGAUUUUUUUUUU
This 2534-nucleotide long non-coding RNA is filed under the name Felis catus (domestic cat). Its description in RNAcentral is "lncRNA (ENSFCAG00000047968.1)". Lineage: Eukaryota; Metazoa; Chordata; Mammalia; Carnivora; Felidae. The record is from RNAcentral.